RNAcentral lists this ribosomal RNA (1437 nucleotides) under uncultured organism. Its description in RNAcentral is "partial small subunit ribosomal RNA". It matches the Rfam family "Bacterial small subunit ribosomal RNA". The record is from RNAcentral.
UGGACGAACGCUGGCGGCGUGCUUAACACAUGCAAGUCGAACGGAAAGGCCCUGCUUUUGUGGGGUGCUCGAGUGGCGAACGGGUGAGUAACACGUGAGUAACCUGCCCUUGACUUUGGGAUAACUUCAGGAAACUGGGGCUAAUACCGGAUAGGAGCUCCUGCUGCAUGGUGGGGGUUGGAAAGUUUCGGCGGUUGGGGAUGGACUCGCGGCUUAUCAGCUUGUUGGUGGGGUAGUGGCUUACCAAGGCUUUGACGGGUAGCCGGCCUGAGAGGGUGACCGGCCACAUUGGGACUGAGAUACGGCCCAGACUCCUACGGGAGGCAGCAGUGGGGAAUAUUGCACAAUGGGCGGAAGCCUGAUGCAGCAACGCCGCGUGCGGGAUGACGGCCUUCGGGUUGUAAACCGCUUUCGCCUGUGACGAAGCGUGAGUGACGGUAAUGGGUAAAGAAGCACCGGCUAACUACGUGCCAGCAGCCGCGGUGAUACGUAGGGUGCGAGCGUUGUCCGGAUUUAUUGGGCGUAAAGGGCUCGUAGGUGGUUGAUCGCGUCGGAAGUGUAAUCUUGGGGCUUAACCCUGAGCGUGCUUUCGAUACGGGUUGACUUGAGGAAGGUAGGGGAGAAUGGAAUUCCUGGUGGAGCGGUGGAAUGCGCAGAUAUCAGGAGGAACACCAGUGGCGAAGGCGGUUCUCUGGGCCUUUCCUGACGCUGAGGAGCGAAAGCGUGGGGAGCGAACAGGCUUAGAUACCCUGGUAGUCCACGCUGUAAACGGUGGGUACUAGGUGUGGGGUCCAUUCCACGGGUUCCGUGCCGUAGCUAACGCUUUAAGUACCCCGCCUGGGGAGUACGGCCGCAAGGCUAAAACUCAAAGGAAUUGACGGGGCCCCGCACAAGCGGCGGAGCAUGCGGAUUAAUUCGAUGCAACGCGUAGAACCUUACCUGGGUUUGACAUGGAUCGGGAGUGCUCAGAGAUGGGUGUGCCUCUUUUGGGGUCGGUUCACAGGUGGUGCAUGGCUGUCGUCAGCUCGUGUCGUGAGAUGUUGGGUUAAGUCCCGCAACGAGCGCAACCCUUGUUCACUGUUGCCAGCACGUUAUGGUGGGGACUCAGUGGAGACCGCCGGGGUCAACUCGGAGGAAGGUGGGGAUGACGUCAAGUCAUCAUGCCCCUUAUGUCCAGGGCUUCACGCAUGCUACAAUGGCUGGCACAGAGAGUGGCGAGCCUGUGAGGGUGAGCGAAUCUCGGAAAGCCGGUCUCAGUUCGGAUUGGGGUCUGCAACUCGACCUCAUGAAGUCGGAGUCGCUAGUAAUCGCAGAUCAGCAACGCUGCGGUGAAUACGUUCCCGGGGCUUGUACACACCGCCCGUCAAGUCAUGAAAGUUGGUAACACCCGAAGCCGGUGGCCUAACCGUUGUGGGGGAGCCGUCGAAGGUGGGACUG